RNAcentral lists this long non-coding RNA (1646 nucleotides) under Homo sapiens (human). RNAcentral describes it as "HSALNT0192906". Lineage: Eukaryota; Metazoa; Chordata; Mammalia; Primates; Hominidae. The record is from RNAcentral.
GGAGAAGAGGCUCAGGCAUGGCGGGCUGCAGGUCCGGAGCCCUGCCCCGCGGGGAGGCACCUAAGGCCCCGCGAGAAAUCGAGCGCAGCGCCGGUAGGCUGGCACUGCUGGGGGACCCAGCGCACCCUCCUCAGCUGCUGGCCCGGUUGCUAAACCCUGCUGGUCCGGGUGCUAAGCUCCUCAUUGCCCAGGGAGGCGGGGCCCGCCAAACCCACGCCAACCCGGAACUCUAGCUGGCCCGCAAGGGCUACGCGCAGCCCCGGUUCCUGCCCGUGCCUCUCCCUCCGCACUUCCCCUCAGGCUGAGGGAGCUGGCUCCUGCCUCGGCCAUCCCAGGAAGAGGCUCCCACAGUGCAGCGACGGGCUGAAGGGCUCCUCAGGCGCGGCCAGAGUGGGCGCCCAGGCCGAGGAGGCGCCAAGAGCGAGCGAGGGCUGCGACGACUGCCAGCAUGCUGUCACCUCUCACUAUGACUGUCUGGGAUCUGCUUUAUAAAUAAACAAGCUUCCUACAAUUAUCCUCAUCUCAUGGAAAAACUAGACAGAGGAAAAGAAAAGAGGCAAAUGGAGCUUCCUUUGCUAAGAGCUCAAAUAACUCUCCUCUACAUAGUCUUCUUCAAACAAAAACACAAAGCUAAUUUUCCAUUUACUCUUUGAGAGUUCCACAGAAAAACAAAAAAACCAAGUGACAUUAAUUGAUACUGGACACAAUCUGUGAUAUCAGUGAUUAAGUUGGAGUUAUGCAAGUGGAUCAUUUGCCACCAACCAGAAAAUAAGGAUUCCUUUCAAGUGGAUGUGGGAUAUGAAUAUUUUUUGGCACAAGACAGUAGUUCAAUUGGUAAAAAUUUCAUCAAUGGUGACUUUGGAGAAUGUCAUGUUGCAGGUGAAUGUCCUAACCAGGACAAUAUUCAUGCAUUUGAAAAAUCCAGCGUGAGAAACAUAGAAAGGAAGAAGACCAUCACCAGAGAUGAAUGGACAUUUGAUAUUACCAAGAAUAUGCAUAAUGACUUGGAAGUUACCAUUUGAACAAUUGACAUUCUUGAGCAUCUUAGGUUGGAUUUCCUAGGAACAGAACCUGUGACAGGAAUUCAGGUGGAGCUGUUUUAGGCUGGGUGCUGUGGCCCAGGCCUGGAAUCCCAGCACUUCAGAAGGCCAAGGCAGGAGAAUCGCUUGAGCCCAGGAGUUCAAGAGCAGCCUGGGCAACAUGUUGAAACAUCAUCUCUAUACAAAUAUACGCACAAAAAUUAGCUGGACAUGGUGGUGUGCACCUGUAGUCCUAACUACUCAGGAAGCUGUGGUGGAAGAAUCACUUGAGCCCAGGAGGUCGAGCCUGCAAUAAGCUGUGAUUGCACCACUGCACUCCAGCGUGGAUGACAGAGCAAGACACCCUGUCUCAAAAAAAAGACUAUACAACAGAGCUCUGAAAAAGAUCACACUUUCAGGCUCAAGGAGCUCUCUUGUUCCUUCCACCAUCUGAGAACACAGUGAGAAGUCCCCAGGCUUCAACCUGAAAAAGGGCCCUCAUCAGAACCUGAUCAUCAGAACUUGGCACCCCAAUCUUUGUCUUCUGAUCUACAUUGUGACCUAAGUCAGUUAUACUCUCUUCUGCUGCCAUGUGAGAAGGCCCAGGCUUGCUUCCCCUUCACCUUC